RNAcentral lists this small nuclear RNA (191 nucleotides) under Salmo salar (Atlantic salmon). RNAcentral's name for it is "U2 spliceosomal RNA". It matches the Rfam family "U2 spliceosomal RNA". Rfam says of the family: U2 is a small nuclear RNA (snRNA) component of the spliceosome (involved in pre-mRNA splicing). Complementary binding between U2 snRNA (in an area lying towards the 5' end but 3' to hairpin I) and the branchpoint sequence (BPS) of the intron results the bulging out of an unpaired adenosine, on the BPS, which initiates a nucleophilic attack at the intronic 5' splice site, thus starting the first of two transesterification reactions that mediate splicing. Lineage: Eukaryota; Metazoa; Chordata; Actinopteri; Salmoniformes; Salmonidae. The record is from Rfam by way of RNAcentral.
AUCGCUUCUCGGCCUUUUGGCUCAGAUCAAGUGUAAUAUCUGUUCUUAUCAGUUUAAUAUCUGAUACGUCCCCCAUCGGGGGACUACAUAUUAAAUGGAUUUUUCGAACAGGGAGUCGGAAAUGGGGCUUGCUCCGUCCGCUCCACGCAUCGACCCGGUAUUGCAGUACCUCCGGGAACGGUGCAACACUU